Molecule: ribosomal RNA, 262 nt
Filed under: uncultured Megasphaera sp.
Lineage: Bacteria; Bacillati; Bacillota; Negativicutes; Veillonellales; Veillonellaceae
Description: partial 16S ribosomal RNA
Rfam family: Bacterial small subunit ribosomal RNA
Source: RNAcentral
UAACGCGUAAACAACCUGCCCUUCGGAUGGGGAUAACAGCCGGAAACGGCUGCUAAUACCGAAUACGAUCUUUUCGUCGCAUGACGAAAAGAAGAAAGGAUGGCCUCUAUACAAAGCUAUCGCCGAAGGAGGGGUUUGCGUCUGAUUAGCUGGUUGGAGGGGUAACGGGCCCAACAAGGCGAUGAUCAGUAGCCGGUCUGAGAGGAUGAACGGCCACAUUGGGACUGAGACACGGCCCAGACUCCUACGGGAGGCAGCAGAU